GAUGAACGCUGGCGGCGUGCCUAAUACAUGCAAGUCGAGCGAACGGACGAGAAGCUUGCUUCUCUGAUGUUAGCGGCGGACGGGUGAGUAACACGUGGAUAACCUACCUAUAAGACUGGGAUAACUUCGGGAAACCGUAGCUAAUACCGGAUAAUAUUUUGAACCGCAGGGUUCAAAAGUGAAAGACGGCCUUGCUGCCACUGAUAGAUGGAUCCGCGCUGCAUUAGCUAGUUGGUAAGGUAACGGCUUACCAAGGCAACGAUGCAUAGCCGACCUGAGAGGGUGAUCGGCCACACUGGAACUGAGACACGGUCCAGACUCCUACGGGAGGCAGCAGUAGGGAAUCUUCCGCAAAGGGCGAAAGCCUGACGGAGCAACGCCGCGUGAGUGAUGAAGGUCUUCGGAUCGUAAAACUCUGUUAUUAGGGAAGAACAUAUGUGUAAGUAACUGUGCACAUCUUGACGGUACCUAAUCAGAAAGCCACGGCUAACUACGUG
Molecule: ribosomal RNA, 497 nt
Filed under: uncultured bacterium
Lineage: Bacteria
Description: partial 16S ribosomal RNA
Rfam family: Bacterial small subunit ribosomal RNA
Source: RNAcentral